GGAGGCGUGGCAGAGCGGUCGAAUGCACCGGUCUUGAAAACCGGCGUGGGUCCUGCCCACCGUGGGUUCGAAUCCCACCGCCUCCGCCA
Molecule: transfer RNA, 89 nt
Filed under: Paracoccaceae bacterium
Lineage: Bacteria; Pseudomonadati; Pseudomonadota; Alphaproteobacteria; Rhodobacterales; Paracoccaceae
Description: Rhodobacteraceae bacterium (aquatic metagenome) tRNA-Ser
Rfam family: tRNA
About the family: Transfer RNA (tRNA) molecules are approximately 80 nucleotides in length. Their secondary structure includes four short double-helical elements and three loops (D, anti-codon, and T loops).
Source: RNAcentral